Non-coding RNA from Paramuricea clavata, 709 nucleotides. NCBI's taxonomy places the organism in Eukaryota, Metazoa, Cnidaria, Anthozoa, Malacalcyonacea, Plexauridae. The record is from the annotation of a GenBank genome assembly.
UAAAAAUAAAAUGGAAGGCGCGCCAUUUUAGGAUACUGAAAGCAUGUGUUUGGUUUAUAUUCUUUGAACAAAUCUCAGUUUUCAAGGUUUGUGAAAAUGAGUAAGUCAUCCAAGAAAGAUUCAGAGGAGACUUCUUCCCCCAGUAAAACAUACAUUCGGCACAGAGUGCAAAGCUAUGUGGAGGGAGUUGACACAACUCGUGAAGAUUAUGAAACCGAAAUACCAGCUGAAGAUCAGGCAGAUUUUGUUGACAAGGAGACUGUUGAUGUUGUCGAGGAAGUCAUUGAAGUUUCAAGUAUUAGUCGUGGAUUAAUUGCCGAAACAAUUUUAGGUAAAGUACAACAAAACAAAUAAAAUAAAAAUAAAGUGUGGAUAAUAAUUUUAUAUAAUAUAGUAUUUUUGGCAUUUUUGCACAAGUGAAUAUAACAAAUUCUACAAGUUGAAUGAUCAAAUUUGACGUAUUAAGCUGUUAUAUUCACCUACAGGUGAAUAUAACAAAACCGAAAUUUGCAAAAUGGUGGCUAGCCGUUUUGUGUUAGGGGCGGACCAUUAGAAAUCCCGGGAGGGGGUGUGAAAAUUCAAAAAAAAAAAUUCAUGCAAAGGAAAAUGCCUGGAAAAAAAAUUCGUGCAGCCAUUACGUCAGAGAAAAAAAAUUCAUGCAAGCAAACAGCGAAGUACAAAUAGUCUUGAAAAAAAUUCGUGCAGAGGU